GACGAGGUGGUGGAGCGGUCUAACACGCUGGCUUAAGGAAAUAUAAAAUGUACGUCAGUCCUUCGGGGCGCGGGUUCGAAUCCCGUCCUCGUCA
Non-coding RNA from Dunaliella salina, 94 nucleotides. The record is from the annotation of a GenBank genome assembly. NCBI's taxonomy places the organism in Eukaryota, Viridiplantae, Chlorophyta, Chlorophyceae, Chlamydomonadales, Dunaliellaceae.